GAGUUUGAUCAUGGCUCAGAACGAACGUUGGCGGGCGCCUAACACAUGCAAGUCGCACGAGAAAGGGCUUCGGCCCCGGUACAGUGGCGCACGGGUGAGUAACACGUAGAUAAUCUUCCCUCGAGUGGUGGAUAACUCUCCGAAAGGAGAGCUAAUACAGCAUGAGACCACGGCUUCGUUGAAGCUGCGGCCAAAGCAGGCCUCUACACGUAAGCUUGCGCUUGAGGAUGAGUCUGCGGCCCAUCAGCUAGUUGGUAGGGUAAUGGCCUACCAAGGCUAAGACGGGUAGCUGGUCUGAGAGGAUGAACAGCCACACUGGAACUGAGACACGGUCCAGACUCCUACGGGAGGCAGCAGUGGGGAAUCUUGCGCAAUGGGCGAAAGCCUGACGCAGCGACGCCGCGUGAGCGAUGAAGGCCUUCGGGUUGUAAAGCUCUGUGGGGAGGAAAGAAUAAGGUUUGGCUAAUAUCCAAACUGAUGACGGUACCUCCUUAGCAAGCACCGGCUAACUCUGUGCCAGCAGCCGCGGUAAGACAGAGGGUGCAAACGUUGUUCGGAAUUACUGGGCGUAAAGCGCGUGUAGGCGGCCCCGCAAGUCGGAUGUGAAAUCCCACGGCUCAACCGUGGAAGUGCAUU
Molecule: ribosomal RNA, 636 nt
Filed under: uncultured delta proteobacterium
Lineage: Bacteria; Deltaproteobacteria
Description: bacterial SSU rRNA
Rfam family: Bacterial small subunit ribosomal RNA
Source: RNAcentral